UACAGAGGGUGCAAGCGUUGUUCGGAAUUAUUGGGCGUAAAGGGCGCGUAGGCGGUGCGGUAAGUCUGUAGUGAAAUCUCCGGGCUUAACCCGGAAAGGUCAACUGAUACUGUGCGACUAGAGUGCGGAAGGGGCAACUGGAAUUCUCGGUGUAGCGGUGAAAUGCGUAGAUAUCGAGAGGAACACCUGCGGCGAAGGCGGGUUGCUGGGCCGACACUGACGCUGAUGCGCGAAAGCCAGGGGAGCGAACGGG
This 253-nucleotide ribosomal RNA is filed under the name uncultured bacterium. RNAcentral's name for it is "partial 16S ribosomal RNA". It matches the Rfam family "Bacterial small subunit ribosomal RNA", at positions 524 to 776 of the family's 1533-position model. The record is from RNAcentral.